GAGGUUAAGCAAAAGCACGGAAUCAUGAAAAUUAUUCUUUGAAAUGGCAAAGAUUUCUGUGGCUGGAUCAUGGGAUUUAUUGACUGGAGCGAUUUCUCCUCAGAAGACCAGACACAUAAGGUGAAAGAGAAGUCAGGAAGGGAUGUCACAAGUUACCAUAUCAUGGAAUGUGAGAAUAACAUGAACCAGGAAGCUGCAUGUUCUGCAGGAACUAAGAAGACAAGGCAGCAUAAAUACUUUUUGGAGAAAAACACUAUGAGGAGCAUUGAGAAAGUCCUCAUUUGGAAUACUUAGCUGGACUUACCUAAACUGAACUUUCCCUUCCUUGACCCAGGGCAACCUCUGCCAAGCCCACCACCCUCCAGCUCCUACGCCAUGAAAGAUCGAAGAAGAUAAUCAGAAAAACCACCCAAGAAAAGGAAAAGGGAGAAUCAGUUACAUAUCCAGCAAGCCAGAAAACAAGAAAACCCAAAUCUGUUCCAGUUCUCUAGUUUCACCUUAAAGGCAAAGAACUGUAGAUGCUUGUGAGGAGCUCUUCAAAGCCUAAAUUCAUAGCCUCUCUACGCGGGAGGUUACCAGCAUCUGAAGAAAAACAACCACUACCAGAAAAGCUCUUCUUUGUUUUCAUUCUUCGCAGUCCUUCAGGAAACUCUUGAUAAUGUGAAAUGUUAUUACUGCAAAUGUUGGCUCAAGCACGUUUACUCUAGAGUCUGACUAUCAGUGACUUGUUCGCAAAAUAAAAUCAUUUUUAAAGCCUACAAGGAAAGCCAAGAGCAAACCACAAAUCAGAAAACCACCAAGGCGGGCUGGCCUCAUUGCCAGAAUUUAAUGUGAUCUAAUGCGAGGACAACAAGAUGUGAGAAUUUGAUUUUACGAUGUUCCAUGUAACAUUUGCCAAUACGGAGGGGUUGGGCCCAACUUCCCCAUCCUUAAGCAAACAUUUGAAGUAAUGUUUCACUUUCUUAUCAGUUUGAAUUCUGUCAGCGAGAGGGUAGAGAUUCAGCCGGGCCUGCUCAUUUUAAAAGUGCCAUCUGCUUUGGAUGCUCAUAGAUUUGCUUAAUAUCCAUUUGUAUAAGAUGAAGAUGGGCAGGUGGGGAAGGGGCCAGGAAAAUAGGAUGAAGCUAUUUAGUGGCAGUGUACCAACUGGACUGCCACUCUCUUCUGCACUGGUGAUUUAUUCCAUGGGUGGGAAGGCAGGAAUAGGGCUAACUUAAGCAACAUUCUUUCACAAGCAAAAACUAACCCCAAUGAGAAAGAGUCAGAUCUGGGCUGAAUCACGUUGUCCAGUCUCACACCAAAUGGAACUGGAGCUCAGGUGGAGCUCUAUUUCCCAUCACUCAUUCUUUAGAAAAGAAAUAAAAUGGUAGCAACAGAGAAA
Molecule: long non-coding RNA, 1378 nt
Filed under: Homo sapiens (human)
Lineage: Eukaryota; Metazoa; Chordata; Mammalia; Primates; Hominidae
Description: novel transcript
Source: RNAcentral